UGGGGGGUAGGGAUGACAUUAAUUUAGGUAAAGUGAGGAGACAGAUCCAUUUAGUCUCUUAAACACACUAAUGCACGGUCAGAAUGAUUCAUGGUGCAGAACACUUUGAGGACAGAAUGAUAAUGAUACGUGAUCAGAAUAACUAGAUGAAGCUACUCUGAAGAACAGUGACAUUCAGGGCUUAACAUCUCUAACGAGGUGCAGCACAAACUGGCCUUGGUUUGAUCUUUCACAACGCACACUGCCACCACAUUCACUCUUGCGUCAACUGGGCUGAACUAAACUCAAGUUAUUUUAAGAAUACUGAAGAACAUUUAUAGGGUGACUUCAUGCAGGACACAAGAGUAUAGAAGUCAGAUUUCUGUAACCAUUUAAUGUAAGGUAUAUGUUUCUUUUUAAUCUAUUCUUUCUU
This 412-nucleotide long non-coding RNA is filed under the name Bos taurus (domestic cattle). RNAcentral describes it as "long non-coding RNA NONBTAT031707". Lineage: Eukaryota; Metazoa; Chordata; Mammalia; Artiodactyla; Bovidae. The record is from RNAcentral.